CCCACGAACCGAGAGAUCAUGACCUGAGCCGAAGUUGGACCCUUAACCGACCGAGCCACCCAGGUGCCCCUUUCACUUCCUCCCUUGAACCGCCUGCACGGCCCCGCGAUGCCCUCUUCAUCUCCCGGUCCUCACCCUGACUCCACAGGCAUGGGUUCUUUGAAGUGCUAUCCGAGCUGUUUUUAUUGUGCAGCUCUGUGUUUGUGACACGUCUGUCCACACCAGCGUGUGUCUCAGACCACAAGACCCCUGAGGCGUGGGGCUCAGCAGCGUAAUCCUCUCCACGUGGAAUGCCUCGCCGACACGUGGAGGAGCAACCAGCGGGCCAGCAAGUCUUUCUCCCUCAUUUCUGUCCCUCCUUCCCUGGGCUUUGCCCCAGAGGCAGACAUUAGGCAUAGAAUUAGUGAGGGGACUUUCAGAGCAGGGGUAAGGGGGCCAAAGGGAUGGAGAGGGGAAGAAAAAA
Molecule: long non-coding RNA, 463 nt
Organism: Lynx canadensis (Canada lynx)
Lineage: Eukaryota; Metazoa; Chordata; Mammalia; Carnivora; Felidae
Exons: 2
Source: RefSeq, a predicted model, not a curated record